AACGCACCUUGCACCCUUUGGUAUUCCGAAGGGUACACCCGUUUGAGUGUCAUUGUAAUCUCACUACAACCACUUUAUUGUUGUUUGUAUGUGGACUUGGAUGUUGCCGUGUAACAAACGGCUCGUCUGAAAUGCCUGAGUGUACCCUGCUUUUGCGGCGUAUUCGGUGUGAUAAAUCUUCACCGGAGUUGACUUUCGGGUCGCGCUUGUAUCGUCGGGCUCUAUGCUUCCAACCGUCCUGACAAGACAAUCUCUGACAAUUUGACCUCAAAUCGGGUGGGACUACCCGCUGAACUUAA
Molecule: unclassified non-coding RNA, 299 nt
Filed under: uncultured Serendipita
Lineage: Eukaryota; Fungi; Basidiomycota; Agaricomycetes; Sebacinales
Also listed under: 1 other name
Description: sequence contains ITS2
Source: RNAcentral